UAGGGAAAACAGGGCAGCAGCCAUGAAGGUUGGAAUGCACGAAGGAGUGUGCAAUAACUCAACUGCCAAAGCAAGCAGCUGCGAAAAUGCAUGACACCCAAGCCAGCGUGCACCGCCCUCGCCUCACCAUGGUGUGA
This 137-nucleotide ribosomal RNA is filed under the name Eutreptiella gymnastica. Its description in RNAcentral is "partial Eukaryotic large subunit ribosomal RNA". Lineage: Eukaryota; Euglenozoa; Euglenophyceae; Eutreptiales; Eutreptiaceae. The record is from RNAcentral.